AGCUCCAAUAGCGUAUAUUAAAGUUGUUGCAGUUAAAAAGCUCGUAGUUGGAUUUGUGGCUGUCGCAGGCGGCCUGGCACUUAGUGCCGGUGCUUGCAUGCGUCGCCAUCCUUGGGUGGAAUCUGUGUGGCAUUAGGUUGUCGUGCAGGGGAUGCCCAUCGUUUACUGUGAAAAAAUUAGAGUGUUCAAAGCAGGCUUAUGCCGUUGAAUAUGUUAGCAUGGAAUAAUGAGAUAGGACCUUGGUACUAUUUUGUUGGUUUGCGCACCGAGGUAAUGAUUAAAAGGGACAGUUGUGGGUAUUCGUAUUCCAUUGUCAGAGGUGAAAUUCUUGGAUUUUUGGAAGACGAACUACUGCGAAAGCAUUUACCAAGGAUGUUUUCAUUAAUCAAGAACGAAAGUA
This 400-nucleotide ribosomal RNA is filed under the name phytoplankton environmental sample. RNAcentral's name for it is "partial small subunit ribosomal RNA". It matches the Rfam family "Eukaryotic small subunit ribosomal RNA", at positions 587 to 991 of the family's 1831-position model. The record is from RNAcentral.